RNAcentral lists this long non-coding RNA (206 nucleotides) under Lathyrus oleraceus (garden pea). RNAcentral's name for it is "Pisum sativum (pea) long non-coding RNA (PSAT_LNC041950)". Lineage: Eukaryota; Viridiplantae; Streptophyta; Magnoliopsida; Fabales; Fabaceae. The record is from RNAcentral.
AAUAAUAUAGGGGGUAAACCGAUAUUCGCUAACAUUGUAGAACAUUUUUUAAUUUUUUUUAAAUAUAUAUUUUUUUCAUUUUUUUAUUACAUAAAUUUAUUUAUUUUUAUUACGAGGGGAUAAAUCAAAGUUCACUCACUUUACAGGGGAUAAAAUAUAAUCUUGUUGUUUUCGAUAGUAAAACAUUGACAAAAUACUAGUUUUUG